This is a long non-coding RNA of Ornithodoros turicata, 1222 nucleotides long. RefSeq lists it as uncharacterized. Lineage: Eukaryota; Metazoa; Arthropoda; Arachnida; Ixodida; Argasidae. The transcript is spliced from 4 exons. The record is from RefSeq and is a predicted model, not a curated record.
AAAAUUUCGCAUCAGAAAACACCAAUAGGUCAGAUUCACCUGUUUUGACACUUUCAGCAAAGAACUAAAAGUGCUUAGAUUGCUUAGAGUAAGCACACAGACUCAAUAGAAGGUACCCCUUAAGCUCUUAUUUCGCAGGUAGCAUAUGAGACUGGAAGAAGGACCUGCAAAAUUUGAGCUCAGAGAACGCCGGUCCUGUUUUAACACUUUCAGCAAAGAACUAAAAGUGCUUAGAUUGCUCAGGGUAAGCGCACACACUCAGUAAAACGUAGGUGGGUAGAAAUCCAGCGAACCGGUAGAAUGUAGGAAGGGAGUUGCCUCAGGACAGAAGCCGCCGAUAUUUCGAACAGAGACUGUUCUUCUUCUGAAGAAGAACAGUCUCAGCCCUUCCUACACUCAGUAAAACUUACCCCUUAAGCUCUUAUUUCGCAGGUAGCAUAUGAGACUGGAAGAAGGACUUGCAAAAUUUGGCCUCAGACAGCGCCAAUAGGACAGUUUUACCUGUUUUAACAUUUUCAGCAAAGAAAUAUAAAAUGCUUAGAUUGUUCAAUGUAAGCACGGACACUCAGUAGAAGGUACUCCUUAUUUCGCAUGUAGCAUGGGACUGCAAGAAAGAUCUUUAAAAUUUGGCCCGAGGGAACACCACUAGGUCAGCCUUUCAGCAAGACUUUCAGCAAGGUACUAAGAGUGCUUAGAUUGCUCAGAGUAAGCACACACACCCAGUAGAAGCUCUCUUAUUUCGCAGGUAGCAUAUGGGACUGGGAGAAGGACCUUCGAAAUUAGGCCUCAGAGAACACCAAUAGGUAACAUGGGACGACUAGGAGAAGGACCUUUGGAAUUUGGCCUCAGAGAACACCAAUAGGUAGCGUACCGGACUGGAAAAAGGACUUUCGAAAUUUGGUCUCGGAGAAAACCAAUAGCCAGCAAUUCUACGAAUUUUGUCACUUCAACACAGCCAGAACGACCAAGACCGUGUUGAACAAGAGAGAGACUGAUGUUCUGAGGCUGGAACAACAUAGAAGGGAUAGAUACAAGAUGACGCACCCCGAAAGUGUUAGCUUAGCUCAAUUGGUAGAGCCCUGGACCGGUAAUCCAGAAGAUGUGGGUUCGAUCCCUACAGCUGGCUAACCUUUUCAGUGACUUUCAUCUUUCAUCGUUGAAGACCGUGUUGUUGAGGCUCAUGGGAAAAUAUCUGUUUAUAAGUAUGCUAGGCCCAGUACAA